GGGCCCAUAGCUCAACGGCAGAGCUACCGGCUCAUAACCGGCAGGUUCCAGGUUCGAAUCCUGGUGGGCCCACCA
RNAcentral lists this transfer RNA (75 nucleotides) under Desulfotomaculum sp. Its description in RNAcentral is "tRNA-Met". It matches the Rfam family "tRNA". Rfam says of the family: Transfer RNA (tRNA) molecules are approximately 80 nucleotides in length. RNAcentral also lists the same sequence under 1 other name. Lineage: Bacteria; Bacillati; Bacillota; Clostridia; Eubacteriales; Desulfotomaculaceae. The record is from RNAcentral.